Molecule: transfer RNA, 71 nt
Filed under: Actinomycetota bacterium
Lineage: Bacteria; Bacillati; Actinomycetota
Description: tRNA-Val
Rfam family: tRNA
About the family: Transfer RNA (tRNA) molecules are approximately 80 nucleotides in length. Their secondary structure includes four short double-helical elements and three loops (D, anti-codon, and T loops). Further hydrogen bonds mediate the characteristic L-shaped molecular structure. tRNAs have two regions of fundamental functional importance: the anti-codon, which is responsible for specific mRNA codon recognition, and the 3' end, to which the tRNAs corresponding amino acid is attached (by aminoacyl-tRNA synthetases). tRNAs cope with the degeneracy of the genetic code in two manners: having more than one tRNA (with a specific anti-codon) for a particular amino acid; and 'wobble' base-pairing, i.e. permitting non-standard base-pairing at the 3rd anti-codon position.
Source: RNAcentral
GGUCCCGUAGCUCAAUGGCAGAGCAUCCGGCUUACACCCGGCGUGUGCAGGUUCGAUUCCUGUCGGGACUA